GGAGAAGUCGCAUAGUGGCCUAGUGCACCUGCUUGGAGAGCAGGAGUAGCCUUACGGCUACCCAGGGUUCGAAUCCCUGCUUCUCCGCCA
Molecule: transfer RNA, 90 nt
Filed under: Candidatus Omnitrophota bacterium
Lineage: Bacteria; Pseudomonadati; Candidatus Omnitrophota
Also listed under: 1 other name
Description: tRNA-Ser
Rfam family: tRNA
About the family: Transfer RNA (tRNA) molecules are approximately 80 nucleotides in length. Their secondary structure includes four short double-helical elements and three loops (D, anti-codon, and T loops).
Source: RNAcentral